GAGAGAGAGAGAGAGAGAGAGAGAGAGAGAGAGAUGAGGAGGGGUGAGAGAGAGAGAGAGAGAGAGAGAGAGAGAGAGAGAGAGAGACACUUCUGUCUUUGUGUUAUGAGGACUGGAGGUGUUGAGCUGGGUAAGGGGCGACAGCUCAUUAAGCUCCAUCACCCUUUAGCGUCCACGCUAUGAGCAGAGAGCAACUGGACGGUCCUGCUGCUGCAGUAGGGAAGCCAUCUUUCUCCGCUCUUCACACACACACACACACACACACACACACACACACAACAGUGGGACGUGGAUAAUGAAUGCAGCUUUAGUGUCUACCGCUGAACGAGUGCUGCUGCGAGUGGUGUAGGAGGUGUGUGAUUGCUAUCGAGAGCAUCGAGAGCCUCCUUCAUUCUCCAUCUCUCUGCUUUCUGAUGUUCUGCUUGCUUUUGUUUGUUUUCUCUCUCCCUCUCCCUCUCCC
This is a long non-coding RNA of Ictalurus punctatus (channel catfish), 460 nucleotides long. Lineage: Eukaryota; Metazoa; Chordata; Actinopteri; Siluriformes; Ictaluridae. The record is from Ensembl.